RNAcentral lists this ribosomal RNA (1164 nucleotides) under Bacillus subtilis. Its description in RNAcentral is "bacterial SSU rRNA". It matches the Rfam family "Bacterial small subunit ribosomal RNA", at positions 38 to 1184 of the family's 1533-position model. Lineage: Bacteria; Bacillati; Bacillota; Bacilli; Caryophanales; Bacillaceae. The record is from RNAcentral.
GGCGACGGCGUGCUAUACAUGCAAGUCGAGCGGACAGAUGGGAGCUUGCUACCCUGAUGUUAGCGGCGGACGGGUGAGUAACACGUGGGUAACCUGCCUGUAAGACUGGGAUAACUCCGGGAAACCGGGGCUAAUACCGGAUGGUUGUUUGAACCGCAUGGUUCAAACAUAAAAGGUGGCUUCGGCUACCACUUACAGAUGGACCCGCGGCGCAUUAGCUAGUUGGUGAGGUAACGGCUCACCAAGGCAACGAUGCGUAGCCGACCUGAGAGGGUGAUCGGCCACACUGGGACUGAGACACGGCCCAGACUCCUACGGGAGGCAGCAGUAGGGAAUCUUCCGCAAUGGACGAAAGUCUGACGGAGCAACGCCGCGUGAGUGAUGAAGGUUUUCGGAUCGUAAAGCUCUGUUGUUAGGGAAGAACAAGUACCGUUCGAAUAGGGCGGUACCUUGACGGUACCUAACCAGAAAGCCACGGCUAACUACGUGCCAGCAGCCGCGGUAAUACGUAGGUGGCAAGCGUUGUCCGGAAUUAUUGGGCGUAAAGGGCUCGCAGGCGGUUUCUUAAGUCUGAUGUGAAAGCCCCCGGCUCAACCGGGGAGGGUCAUUGGAAACUGGGGAACUUGAGUGCAGAAGAGGAGAGUGGAAUUCCACGUGUAGCGGUGAAAUGCGUAGAGAUGUGGAGGAACACCAGUGGCGAAGGCGACUCUCUGGUCUGUAACUGACGCUGAGGAGCGAAAGCGUGGGGAGCGAACAGGAUUAGAUACCCUGGUAGUCCACGCCGUAAACGAUGAGUGCUAAGUGUUAGGGGGUUUCCGCCCCUUAGUGCUGCAGCUAACGCAUUAAGCACUCCGCCUGGGGAGUACGGUCGCAAGACUGAAACUCAAAGGAAUUGACGGCGGCCCGCACAAGCGGUGGAGCAUGUGGUUUAAUUCGAAGCAACGCGAAGAACCUUACCAGGUCUUGACAUCCUCUGACAAUCCUAGAGAUAGGACGUCCCCUUCGCGGGCAGAGUGACAGGUGGUGCAUGGUUGUCGUCAGCUCGUGUCGUGAGAUGUUGGGUUAAGUCCCGCAACGAGCGCAACCCUUGAUCUUAGUUGCCAGCAUUCAGUUGGGCACUCUAAGGUGACUGCCGGUGACAACCCGAAGAAAGUGGGGAUGACU